UACGUAGGGUGCAAGCGUUAAUCGGAAUUACUGGGCGUAAAGCGUGCGCAGGCGGCUUUGCAAGACAGAUGUGAAAUCCCCGGGCUCAGCCUGGGAACUGCAUUUGUGACUGCAAGGCUAGAGUACGGUAGAGGGGGAUGGAAUUCCGCGUGUAGCAGUGAAAUGCGUAGAUAUGCGGAGGAACACCGAUGGCGAAGGCAAUCCCCUGGACCUGUACUGACGCUCAUGCACGAAAGCGUGGGGAGCAAACAGG
This 253-nucleotide ribosomal RNA is filed under the name uncultured bacterium. Its description in RNAcentral is "partial 16S ribosomal RNA". It matches the Rfam family "Bacterial small subunit ribosomal RNA", at positions 524 to 776 of the family's 1533-position model. The record is from RNAcentral.